This 336-nucleotide long non-coding RNA is filed under the name Linum usitatissimum (flax). Its description in RNAcentral is "long non-coding RNA (LUSI_LNC006512)". Lineage: Eukaryota; Viridiplantae; Streptophyta; Magnoliopsida; Malpighiales; Linaceae. The record is from RNAcentral.
CAAACUUCAAACUGAUACAAUCCCAAUACUGUCAGUGGCUCAGUCCCUAGAAAGUCUUGAAGAAAAGCUUCAAGCCUGUUGAAAAAUCCACCAGAUACCCAUUUCCCCAUCUUACCAUUAGUUCAUCUUUCUCCCAGAUAAACUGCGAUUCAGACUCAUGGAUAUGAAAAAGACACAUUCUUGUUUACUGGGUAGAACUGCUAUCAUUCCCUGCUGUAUCCUGUUUUUCCUGCAGUUGAACCAAUUUUCAGCCUUUGAUGUUGUUGAUAACGAGUAUCCAUCCUCACUCCUCAAUCGAAGUAGUUUUCCAGCUGGUUUCAUCUUUGGAGCUUCCUC